Long non-coding RNA from Cotesia glomerata, 774 nucleotides. RefSeq lists it as uncharacterized. The transcript has 3 exons. Lineage: Eukaryota; Metazoa; Arthropoda; Insecta; Hymenoptera; Braconidae. The record is from RefSeq and is a predicted model, not a curated record.
GUAGACGGCCAGGCUUGGAGAUCUCUGGUUCGAUAAGUUUUGUGAACUUGUAAGGAUCGAGUAUAAGUUUAGUUGAGUAAGCGUGGGUGAUGAGUUUAAUUUAUCUUUACUGUAUUCCAUUACAUGUGCUCUACCUCGAAUAUAUUAUUAUACAUAUAUAGAAUAAUUGUGCCGUCGUAAGAUAACUGAAUAAUGAUGUAGUCAUCAACCAUCAUUUUCAAACUGCUAUCAGCUCACCAAUACACUCAAUAUUUUUUUUGUAUACUAUACGGUUGAAAUACUAGAGAGUGAAAAGUGCUGAACGUAAGCAUUAACCGCAUCACAGAUUAUGAAUUGGUGAGAACAAAGUGAAUACACCCAUGAAAGAAAAAUUCUAAUUGUCUUAAUUUACAUGAUGCCUGUAGGCUUGUCUACAGUUUCCCUUUCUCAGCCAACCUAAUUUUUACGUCGCCUUUGUUCUUUUGGCUCGAACAAUGAAUAACAAUAUCAAAACAUACUUAAUCAAUUUAGCACUCCAAAAAUGAUUGUAUAAACCAAAAAUCACCAGGCGUGUGAUUUCCUUCAAAGUAACGCUGUUAUACCGUAACUUGUCAAAAUGUUCAAAAAGCUAGACUGUGCAUCCAACCAUGGAUAAGUAUUCAGCGUCAUCAGAUUAACAACUACAUUGUAUAAUUUACCAAUUAUACCAUCAAUUAUUGUCAAAAGAAUCAAUUAAUAGGAAGAACCGCAUCAAACAAUUUAUAAAAUACUAAUUAUAAAUUCACUUUUAAAUAA